UGAAACAAGUUGGCUAAAGAGAAUGUGAGAGCUAGAGUACAAAGGCAAGGAUUGGCCAUAUUUAAUGCAUGGGGAUGCAAUUUUUUAAAUUCAACAACAUGGGCUGGAAUUGACUUACCAUUUUUGACGCUAAAAUUCAGGGCUACUUGGUGGAGUGAGGACAAAUAGAGUGUGAAUAUAUGACGAAAUGAUAAAUUUUCAUUUUGGCCAUUUUGCGCUAUAGGGCGUUGACUACCAGACUAGUUGAUGAAGACAAGAGGAUCAACAAAGCAUUCUACUGUCUGAUCUAUAAAUUAUUUCCAGUGGACAUCAAUAUUCAAAUUCCAACAGGAAUUAAAAGCAUUGGGAAAUUAAUUUUCAUUUGUUUAAUGUUUGGUGCUCACAUAUCAAAUAGCAGAGGCAGGCCUACACUACUUCUCCAAAAACUUCAUAUAUAUUUGGAAAUGUUUCCAAAAAUUCGUCAGAUAUUAG
This 471-nucleotide long non-coding RNA is filed under the name Nicotiana benthamiana. RNAcentral describes it as "long non-coding RNA (NBEN_LNC003798)". The record is from RNAcentral. Lineage: Eukaryota; Viridiplantae; Streptophyta; Magnoliopsida; Solanales; Solanaceae.